AAACUUGAGCUAAUACCGGAUGUGCCCUUCGGGGGAAAGAUUUAUCGCCAUUGGAGCGGCCCGCGUCGGAUUAGCUAGUUGGUGGGGUAAAGGCCCACCAAGGCUACGAUCCGUAGCUGGUCUGAGAGGAUGAUCAGCCACACUGGGACUGAGACACGGCCCAGACUCCUACGGGAGGCAGCAGUGGGGAAUCUUGCGCAAUGGGCGAAAGCCUGACGCAGCCAUGCCGCGUGAAUGAUGAAGGUCUUAGGAUUGUAAAAUUCUUUCACCGGGGACGAUAAUGACGGUACCCGGAGAAGAAGCCCCGGCUAACUUC
RNAcentral lists this ribosomal RNA (316 nucleotides) under uncultured Alphaproteobacteria bacterium. Its description in RNAcentral is "bacterial SSU rRNA". It matches the Rfam family "Bacterial small subunit ribosomal RNA", at positions 154 to 504 of the family's 1533-position model. Lineage: Bacteria; Pseudomonadati; Pseudomonadota; Alphaproteobacteria. The record is from RNAcentral.